This 305-nucleotide ribosomal RNA is filed under the name uncultured bacterium. RNAcentral's name for it is "bacterial SSU rRNA". It matches the Rfam family "Bacterial small subunit ribosomal RNA", at positions 334 to 653 of the family's 1533-position model. The record is from RNAcentral.
GCUUCCUACGGGACGCAGCAGUGAGGAAUAUUGGUCAAUGGGCGGGAGCCUGAACCAGCCAAGUCGCGUGAAUGAAGAAGGUCUUAGGAUUGUAAAAUUCUGUCCUAUGGGAAGAAACAAAUGACGGUACCAUAGGAGGAAGCCCCGGCUAACUACGUGCCAGCAGCCGCGGUAAUACGUAGGGGGCGAGCGUUGUCCGGAAUUACUGGGCGUAAAGAGAGCGUAGGCGGCACUACAAGUCUCAUGUGAAAUACCCGGGCUUAACUUGGGGGUUGCAUGGGAAACUGUAGAGCUUGAGUACAGGA